GAUGAACGCUGGCGGCGUGCCUAAUACAUGCAAGUCGAGCGAACAGACGAGGAGCUUGCUCCUCUGACGUUAGCGGCGGACGGGUGAGUAACACGUGGAUAACCUACCUAUAAGACUGGGAUAACUUCGGGAAACCGGAGCUAAUACCGGAUAAUAUAUUGAACCGCAUGGUUCAAUAGUGAAGGACGGUUUUGCUGUCACUUAUAGAUGGAUCCGCGCCGCAUUAGCUAGUUGGUAAGGUAACGGCUUACCAAGGCAACGAUGCGUAGCCGACCUGAGAGGGUGAUCGGCCACACUGGAACUGAGACACAGUCCAGACUCCUACGGGAGGCAGCAGUAGGGAAUCUUCCGCAAUGGGCGAAAGCCUGACGGAGCAACGCCGCGUGAGUGAUGAAGGUCUUCGGAUCGUAAAACUCUGUUAUUAGGGAAGAACAAAUGUGUAAGUAACUAUGCACGUCUUGACGGUACCUAAUCAGAAAGCCACGGCUAACUACGU
This 496-nucleotide ribosomal RNA is filed under the name uncultured bacterium. RNAcentral's name for it is "partial 16S ribosomal RNA". It matches the Rfam family "Bacterial small subunit ribosomal RNA", at positions 28 to 506 of the family's 1533-position model. The record is from RNAcentral.